Molecule: long non-coding RNA, 637 nt
Organism: Herpailurus yagouaroundi (jaguarundi)
Lineage: Eukaryota; Metazoa; Chordata; Mammalia; Carnivora; Felidae
Exons: 3
Source: RefSeq, a predicted model, not a curated record
GCUGUUUGUGGAGAGGUGAUGUACCAUUGGCAGCCUCGCCCGAUGGCCAGCAAGAAGCCGAGUCUCUCAUUCUGACAGCCUCGGGGAUCUGAAAUCUAUCAACAACCACUCAAGGUGUUUCACAAUCUAAUCCAAACUGACCUGGCCACUCCAACCUGGAGAGAAGGGGAGGGAACCAUGAUGAAUGUGGACACCAGUUGAGACACUUGUGAAAACACCCAGGAGGUCACGAGGGCGAGCUCUAAUCCCAUAUGACCGUGUCCUCAGAAGAGGAGCUUAGGACACAGACACAGAGGGAAGGCUGUGUGAGGACACAGGGAGAAGAUGGCAUCUACAAGCCAAGGAGAGAGCCCUUGGAUCAAAGCAAGCCUACUGAUGCCUCGAUCUCAGACUUCCAGCUUCCAAAGUUGUGAGGAAAUAAAUGUCUGUGGCAUAAGUCCACUCAGCCUGCGGUGCUUUGUUAUGGCGGCCCGAGCAAACUCAUACAUUGGUGUCCACCCCAAAGAGCUGUUGUGUGCUUUAAAGGAGAUAAUGUGUGUAGAAGAACAUUCACUCAAAUUGUCCACAAAAAUUCAAUGAGUGCCUGCUACAUAUUGCUGUCUCUGAUGCACAAAAAUACAAAUGCAACGUUGGUGAA